GGCGGGGCCCCGCCCCAACUCCGCCCAGGUCCACGCCCCCAGGGCGCUUCAUGAAUAUGCAUGAGCCGGUUGGAACCCGGGAGUGGGAAGCCCGUGCAGAAUUCGUCCCACCGUCGGCAAACAGGCGCGGCCCAGCACUCAAUUAUUCAUGAGGCUUGCAGAUGAGGGGCCCGCCCCAGUCUCAGACCGGGGCGAAACUGACGCAAUUCAGCCGGGAGCGCUCGGGUAAAAUGGCCACCGAGACGACUGCCUAGAGAAACUGCCUUGGCGGCCCCUCCCGGGCUCCGCCGCCUGCACAGAGCACAGUAUCAUCGAGCUACGCCGGCAAGAAGGUAGCCGCCGGCUGACUGAAGCGGCUUCCUGAUACAACCACCUGAGUGCUGAGAACGCGCGCAACGUGGCCACCCUCCUGUGUCAAUUCAGAUUUAGAGCCACCGUGAAGAAGUCUGGCAGCUCUGCAUUCCUCAUUAGUGACCUUUAUCUCCUUUUAGGCCCCUUCUCAGACAUGGGUUCCUCCCUACACUGAAGUUUGUAUACCCCCUUCUUCCCGUAAGAACAAAAGCUUCACAUAUAACUCCGUACUUUGUUGCACCACCACCAGGCUGCAACCACCACCACUCUACGCACACGCUCAUCCUCCCCGACUCUCCAGGCUCAGGUUUCCACUCCCCCGGCUGCGGGAAGGACAGUCAAUCCUGAUUUCAUUAUCGAAAGCCUUGGAAGACCCUUGACUCAUAGACUCUCAGGUGGCCCAUCCGGGCAGAGGCGGGUGAAAACCAAUGCUCGUCCAGCCGGGAACAGAACAGGAUGUACCUCGAGACUUGCUUCCCGGCUGGCCAGGAAGGCCCUGCCCAGUCUGACCAGAGCAGUAAACACCACCAAUAAAAGUGGGAGCAACACACCAAGGCUACAAAGAAAGCAUGAGGACAUGGUUUCCAAAGUCAGUUCCCUUUAUUAAAUCAUUUUCACAGACCAGAAAUACAAAAU
RNAcentral lists this long non-coding RNA (987 nucleotides) under Homo sapiens (human). RNAcentral's name for it is "HSALNT0175328". The record is from RNAcentral. Lineage: Eukaryota; Metazoa; Chordata; Mammalia; Primates; Hominidae.